AUUGCACGGUCUGCCUUUUUUUUUUAAUUUCUUCUUUAGGGGUUUCUUUCUCCCUAUCUCCCCUUCUUAUUUCUGUCUUUCUGGUCCAGUGAACACUGCAUAUAGUACUUUCUGUCUUAAUGUGCUGGCAUGAUGCUAGACUAGGCAUGGCAGUAAUUGAUGACGCAUGUGAUAAUGCUGCAGAGGGAGAGUUCAUAUCUGAUAAUGUGCUGAACGUCCAGUCUUAUAUUUUAACAUAAGAUUAAAAUGCCAAGCCCACUUUGCUAAUUAAAGUCCACCAAGGCUUGUGCCUUGUUCUGUAUCAGAGAUUAUCAUCAGGCAGAAUUUCAUAAUGAAAUUCAUAGGCAAGAUACAUGGUUUGUACUUAAAUAAUUUAGUUUUCCAUUUUACUAUGACAAUAUUUCUUUGCAUCAGUUUUAAGGACAAACCCCCCCAGUUGUUACAGCUUCCCAGUCCCAUAUCCUGUGAUGUCACAGAUGUGCUGUUUCUAUUGAGCACUUUGACUUGUCAGUAUCAGGAAGUUUAAUUAGCCUGAAACUGUAGCCUGUUUCAUUUGUAAUGUACUUAAUGAAUAUUUCUUCUAAAGCAUUUAUAUUUAGCCCUUUUACAUUCUGUGUAGGUCCACAUUAUAAUUUUAAGCCAUUCCUAUGACAUGAGACUAAUGAUACUAUUUCCUCACAGUGCCCAGGAGUUUUUUUCCUUGGACAUGUUGUAUUCGUAAGCAAAGCACUGUGACAAGACAGUCUGCUUGUGUAAUCAUUGCCGAGUAAUCUCACAAUAUCUUGAGAGGUGCUGACUGUUUUGCUACAGCAUGCAACUCAAAAGUGGCUGGGAAUACACAGCUUUGGGAGUCUACAGAUCAUUGCAGGAGCUAAAGUGUAGUCAUUUCAAUACAUAAGCAAGGUAAUCUGCAGGAACUGAUGACUGUGGAGGUCUGCACAGGUUUGUGUCAAGAAUAUGCCUAUAUGAAGGGCUAUUAUGGGUAUGGAAUUAAGGCUAUUUGUUUCAUAAUAGAGCAUAUUUGAUACAAAUCAGCAAAAUGAAAUGAGAUUCAAAGAUUUUAAUGAAUUAUACAUUAACCAAACUUCUGAAGUCUGGAUUUGUUAGUGAGAUGAUACGGUUAUUCAGUUUUAGUAGGCAAAUGUUAAAAACAAAAUUCAUAAAGUACAAAAUUCAUAAAAAAAAAGAAUCAGAAAUUACUUGAUAAUGUUUGCUAUAAAGUUUUAUUUUCCUUCAUUUCAGCUAAUAAAAUACUUUUGGUCAAGAGUAAAAUAUUUUCUAAAAAAAUUACAUUAGAAUUGGCAAGUAUCUGGAUUAUAGUGAAAGAACAGAAUACAAGUUUUUUUUCUUACCACAAACAACUUUUUUAGUUUCAACUUUAAAAGUUGUUUUAGCUAUGCGAUUUUUGACGUUCAAGCCACAAUUAUGACCUCCAUACAUUUAAAAUAUUGGGAAAACGAAGUGUAAUCUAAAGCUAUAGCCCAAUCUUAGAUUCUGUUGUAAUUACAAGAAUCGGUUAGUACAACUUAGGAUAUAUGAUUUUUAUGACCUUAUCCAUGUUUGAAGAUGAUAAAUCAGAUGGGAUAAUGAAGGUGGACAAAAGAAAAAAAUGCCUGCAUCAUAGACUUGAAAAAAAUGCUGUGUUUAGUACAAUUGAAAGUACAACUUUCCACCAGAUAAGUUGCUUUUUUUAUUGUAACUGACUGAUAAAAAUCCUGACUUUAGGAGUUGGUAGGUUUAGUGGGUUUAAAAAAAGUUAGUGUUAAGUUUUCCAAAUAUCUAGUUGCCAAUGUUUAGUUUACUUAUGUAGGGAUUUAGUAGUACAUAUAUAACUGGAGUUUUGUUAUGUUGCAUAUCUGUGUAGAUCUGUGGACUCCACUAGUUCCAAAAUGUAACUCUGUGAGACUGCUAAUUUGACUCUUAGCAGUGACCUUAUGUGGACUGCACAAUAAACAGUAUGCUU
Mastomys coucha (southern multimammate mouse) is the source of this 1963-nucleotide long non-coding RNA. RefSeq lists it as uncharacterized. NCBI's taxonomy places the organism in Eukaryota, Metazoa, Chordata, Mammalia, Rodentia, Muridae. The transcript is spliced from 2 exons. The record is from RefSeq and is a predicted model, not a curated record.